RNAcentral lists this ribosomal RNA (495 nucleotides) under uncultured bacterium. RNAcentral describes it as "partial 16S ribosomal RNA". It matches the Rfam family "Bacterial small subunit ribosomal RNA", at positions 28 to 507 of the family's 1533-position model. The record is from RNAcentral.
GACGAACGCUGGCGGCGUGCCUAAUACAUGCAAGUAGAACGCUGAAGGAGGAGCUUGCUUCUCUGGAUGAGUUGCGAACGGGUGAGUAACGCGUAGGUAACCUGCCUGGUAGUGGGGGAUAACUAUUGGAAACGAUAGCUAAUACCGCAUAAUAGCAGUUGUUGCAUGAUAACUGUUUGAAAGGUGCAAUUGCACCGCUACCAGAUGGACCUGCGUUGUAUUAGCUAGUUGGUGGGGUAACGGCUCACCAAGGCGACGAUACAUAGCCGGCCUGAGAGGGUGAUCGGCCACACUGGGACUGAGACACGGCCCAGACUCCUACGGGAGGCAGCAGUAGGGAAUCUUCGGCAAUGGACGGAAGGCUGACCGAGCAACGCCGCGUGAGGGAAGAAGGUUUUCGGAUCGUAAAGCUCUGUUGUAAGAGAAGAACGAGUGUGAGAGUGGAAAGUUCACACUGUGACGGUAUCUUACCAGAAAGGGACGGCUAACUACGUG